GGUCCCAUAGUUCAAGGGAUAGAACGGAAGUUUCCUAAACUUUAAAUCCAGGUUCGAUUCCUGGUGGGACCACCA
Molecule: transfer RNA, 75 nt
Filed under: Haliscomenobacter sp.
Lineage: Bacteria; Pseudomonadati; Bacteroidota; Saprospiria; Saprospirales; Haliscomenobacteraceae
Description: tRNA-Arg
Rfam family: tRNA
About the family: Transfer RNA (tRNA) molecules are approximately 80 nucleotides in length. Their secondary structure includes four short double-helical elements and three loops (D, anti-codon, and T loops).
Source: RNAcentral